GACGAACGCUGGCGGCGCGCUUAACACAUGCAAGUCGAACGGAAAGGCCUGCUUUCCCUUGUGGAUUGCGGGUACUCGAGUGGCGAACGGGUGAGUAACACGUGAGUGAUCUGCCCCCAACUUGGGUAUAAGCCUGGGAAACUGGGUCUAAUUCCCGAUAGGACUGCAGGGUGGUGCCUGUGGUGGAAAACGAUUUUCUAGUGGUUGGGGAUGAGCUCGCGGCCUAUCAGCUUGUUGGUGGGGUAAUGGCCUACCAAGGCGGCGACGGGUAGCCGGCCUGGGAGGGUGGACGGCCACAUUGGGACUGAGAUACGGCCCAGACUCCUACGGGAGGCAGCAGUGGGGAAUAUUGGACAAUGGGCGGAAGCCUGAUGCAGCGACGGCGCGUGGGGGAUGACGGCCUUCGGGUUGUAAACUCCUUUCGACCGCGAGGAAGCCACCUGGUUGGAAGGGUGGUGACGGUAGUGGUAGAAGAAGCACCGGCUAACUACGU
Molecule: ribosomal RNA, 493 nt
Filed under: uncultured bacterium
Lineage: Bacteria
Description: partial 16S ribosomal RNA
Rfam family: Bacterial small subunit ribosomal RNA
Source: RNAcentral